This 252-nucleotide ribosomal RNA is filed under the name uncultured bacterium. Its description in RNAcentral is "partial 16S ribosomal RNA". It matches the Rfam family "Bacterial small subunit ribosomal RNA", at positions 524 to 776 of the family's 1533-position model. The record is from RNAcentral.
UACGUAGGUCCCGAGCGUUGUCCGGAUUUAUUGAGUUUAAAGGGUGCGUAGGCGGACGCUUAAGUCAGCGGUAAAAUUGCGGGGCUCAACCUCGUCGAGCCGUUGAAACUGGGUGCCUUGAGUGGGCGAGAAGUACGCGGAAUGCGUGGUGUAGCGGUGAAAUGCAUAGAUAUCACGCAGAACUCCGAUUGCGAAGGCAGCGUACCGGCGCCCUACUGACGCUGAAGCACGAAGGCGUGGGUAUCGAACAGG